RNAcentral lists this ribosomal RNA (483 nucleotides) under uncultured bacterium. RNAcentral's name for it is "partial 16S ribosomal RNA". It matches the Rfam family "Bacterial small subunit ribosomal RNA", at positions 28 to 507 of the family's 1533-position model. The record is from RNAcentral.
GACGAACGCUGGCGGCGUGCUUAACACAUGCAAGUCGAACGCUGAAGCUCAGCUUUUGUUGGGUGGAUGAGUGGCGAACGGGUGAGUAACACGUGAGUAACCUGCCCCCUUCUUUGGGAUAACGCCCGGAAACGGGUGCUAAUACUGGAUAUUCACUGGUCUUCGCAUGGGGGUUGGUGGAAAGGGUUUUUCUGGUGGGGGAUGGGCUCGCGGCCUAUCAGCUUGUUGGUGGGGUGAUGGCCUACCAAGGCUUUGACGGGUAGCCGGCCUGAGAGGGUGACCGGUCACAUUGGGACGGAGAUACGGCCGAGAAUCCUACGGGAGGCAGCAGUGGGGAAUAUUGCGCAAUGGGCGCAAGCCUGAUGCAGCGACGCCGCGUGAGGGAUGGGGGCCGUCGGGUUGUGAACCUCUUUCGCUCAUGGUCAAGCCGCAACAAUGGUUGUGGUGAGGGUAGUGGGUAAAGAAGCGCCGGCUAACUACGUG